This is an RNA transcript of Andrographis paniculata, 3504 nucleotides long. It is a transcript of the gene named protein CANDIDATE G-PROTEIN COUPLED RECEPTOR 7-like, with no coding region annotated. The record is from RefSeq and is a predicted model, not a curated record. NCBI's taxonomy places the organism in Eukaryota, Viridiplantae, Streptophyta, Magnoliopsida, Lamiales, Acanthaceae. The transcript is spliced from 4 exons.
UUUCUUCUUCAUUCGGAGCUUGCAUUUCGCGACGAUAUGGAUUUCUACUGAGAAAAUUGAACUUUCCAUGGUGGAUGUUUGAUUCUGGAGAUGGAGUACUAAUCGAUUCGGUUAUUCCGAGGAGUGGUUUAUGUGCUGCGUGAGAUUCGUGUCGGUCUUGCUUCCGCCGCGGGUUCAUCAAUGAAGUACCGGCAAGCCAUUAACAGAUCAGAUCAAGGUUGUCGACACCAUUUUAGCCAAUGCGACCUUGUUGUCAAGUGAUGCUAAGCCGGAGACCUCAUUGCAAGCGUGCCUGGUAAACUUUUUUGUCCUAGUUCAUAUUUUUUUGCCAACAUUUUUGAUAGAUAAAAUACCUUAACCACACUAGAAGAUAUGCAUGAUAAUUUGGUUAUACAUAGUAACUUGAUAUAUUAUAAUAAUGCAUUUAACUCAUUAAAGGAUCUACAGUAUAGUUUUGACUGUCAAAAUAUUAAGAGUUAGACUUUUCCUUAGAAUAAAUGCCUUGGAUCAACAUUAGAAUUUAGGCCCUAUAUAUUUUAAUUUGAAAAUGUUUAAUGGAACAAUAUUUUUAAAUGGGAAAAAAAUGCGUUACAUUACUAAUAAUAUAUGAUUUAUUAAUAAUAAUAAUAAUAAAUAGAUAAACACUACCUCUAUUAGGUUUGGGUAAUACUAGUAUUAUUCAUUAAAUAUUCGUACCGCUCCAUAUUCAACGGCCGGCAUAGUGUAUAGUUUAAUUCAAAAAUAAAUAAAUCACAUUGCACGCGUAUUUCUUAUUUGUAUUUCUUAUUAUUAUUAUUAUUAUUAUUUGUUGAUGUUAUGUUAAAUUCCUCAGUUCUAACUUUAAUUUUUUUUAAUAAUUAAAAAAUACCAUAAUUUUAGUUUUUAUAUUAGUGAUUACUGAUAAAUUAUUAUGAAAAUUAAUAUAUUUAUAGAUAUUGUUACUAUCGUAUAAAUAUAAAAUUAAACACAAAAAGAAAACCCGUUGCUUAUUCCAAAUUUCCAAAUGGUAAAUGCAUAUCUUUAUUCAAUUGGAAAAAAAGAAAAGUAGGUUUAGGGUAUAAAAAAGUAAACCUUAGUGAAAAAGUAUUUUAGUACUUUCCUAAAUCUUUACCUUCCCUUCUCUAAACCAUUUGACACGCAAUUAUCUGAAACUUCCGACGAAUUUUCUUCUCCUCGAUUUAUCUGUCAAAAUUUGUUAAAUCCCUAACCGAAACGAAUCGAGCAAGAUAAGAAAAUUCGCGGACUUCCUCCAUCCUCGUCUGCUCCGAUCUCCCAUCAAUUCCGGUAUGUCGAUCCCUCUGCUCUUCCUGAUCUUACUCUCAGCCGCCUCACGCGCCGCCGCCGAGAUCCGAUUCACGGAGCUCCGGUCGGACACCCGCCAGAUCAUCCCCGUGGAUGAAUUUGGCUUCACUCACCGUGGCCAGCUGGAACUGAACCUCACCCAGCUCUCUCUUACCGGGACGAAUCCGAACCCAUCGGCGCUCUCCAAGGUAGGGUUCUUCCUGGUCACAAUGGAUGCGUGGAUUCACGUGCUCCAGCAGAUUGAGGAGAGGGAUAUUGACUGCGUGCUCUCAUCCUCCGCGGUGAAGGUUGUGUUCACCUUCGAUCGUCUCCCUACUCCCGUCCCUUCCGAUUACAAUGUUCUGUACAGUGAAACAACCGCAGAUCAGUACACCCUCUUGUUCGCCAACUGCUUCCCGCAGCUCGCCGUCACGAUGAAGGUUCGAUCGGCGAUGUACAACUUGGAGGACGGCAAGUCAAACAAUCGAGAUUAUCUGUCCGCGGGUAAAACUGUUCUGCCUAGGGUUUAUUUCUUCUUCUCCAUGGUUUAUUUCGUGUUGGCCGCUACCUGGAUCUAUGUUCUAUACAAGAAGAGGCUUACCAUUUUUAGGAUUCACUUCUUCAUGUUGGCUGUUGUGCUGUUGAAAAUGUUGAAUUUGUUGUGUGAAGCUGAGGACAAAUCGUAUAUUAAGCGCACUGGAUCGGCGCACGGCUGGGAUGUCUUGUUUUACAUAUUUAGUUUCCUCAAGGGGAUCAUGUUGUUCACUUUGAUUGUAUUGAUCGGGACUGGAUGGUCGUUCCUGAAGCCGUAUUUGCAGGAUAAAGAAAAGAAGGUUCUGAUGAUUGUGAUCCCACUUCAGGUGGUUGCUAACAUAGCCCAGGUUGUCAUCGACGAGAAAGGACAAAUUGCGCAGGAUUGGGUUACUUGGAAGCAAGUGUUCUUGCUAGUGGAUGUGAUUUGCUGCUGUGCAGUGCUUUUCCCCAUUGUCUGGUCAAUCAAGAACUUGCGGGAGGCUGCCAAGACCGAUGGGAAGGCCGCGGUGAAUUUGAUGAAGUUGACUCUGUUUAGGCAGUAUUAUAUUGUGGUGAUUUGCUACAUUUAUUUCACCCGGGUUGUGGUUUACGCGCUGGAGACUAUUACGUCUUACAGAUAUCUCUGGACUAGCAUCGUUGCAGGGGAGUUAGCUACAUUAGGGUUCUAUGUUUUUACUGGAUACAAAUUCAAGCCUGAGGCCCAUAACCCGUAUUUCGUGCUGGAUGAUGAAGAGGAAGAGGCUGCUGCUGAGCAAUUGAAGCUUGAAGAUGAGUUUGAAUUGUAAGGUGCUGCCUUAAUGUUGGAUAAGAAUGAGAUUCACCAUCACCGAUGGAUUUCCGGUGUGCGCAGCCGUGGAGAUGCAGAAGAACCGACGGCAAGAAAUGGAGGUGUUCCAGGGACGCGGCGCCGCCGGACCACAAGUACUGCCACCGCCACGCUCCGAAGGCCAAAAUCAACAAACCGCCACGUUCAAGAAAGCAUGUGGAAACCAGUAAUUACAAUUACUACAACAACAACAAUAAUAUCAUCAUCAAUCGCCAUCUCCGACCACAAGAACACCUCAGCCACAUGUGCUUCGACUGGACACUAACACAAUCACAGUCACAAUCGGAAUUUCUAAUCGACGGCGGAGAUAAGAUCGAUGUUGCCCUGAAUCCGUACGACGUCGAUAUCGUUCCAGACGUCGUUAUUCCCGUUAUCGAAAACCAUAAUCGAUUUUGGAAUCCAUUAUUAUAUAAUAUGGAAUCCCUCCAAACCAGCGUUGAAUUCACACCGGCCGUCUCCGGCCAGAGCGGUGCCCCGCCGGCGGAGAUGAACUCCGAUGGGUUUAUGGAAGCUUCAGCGUCAAUCAUUCCCGGCGGCCCAUUGGCUGAGGCUCUGUAUAUGGGAAAAACUAAAGCUACCUGUGGUGGUUGAAAUUCUGUGUCACCGCAGCGCAGCCAGCUCGCGAUUUCAUUGGACGGUGAUGACAGCUAAUGUGAUGUUAACACUCCUUUUUUAGUCAUUUUAACGUUUCAAUUUGGCAUGUUAAUCUUUAUUAUAAUAUAAUAAUAAUUAAAAAUAAUAGAAAUUCUAGUACUAGGACUUAUUAAUUUAAAGCAUUUGCUGUCACUUUCUGCCUAUUUUUUCUUCCGCUUCUGUUAGAAUAUAAAUGCCAAUUUACUUCAAUGUCUAUAGAUUUAGCAUCU